UUUCAUUACACUUCUUUCAAGAAAGCAACAGGCUGCCCAACAGACCUCUCAUUGAUUGGAAGAGAAAUGAGCCCAGAGCCUCCUAACAACAGCCUUGGAGUGGACAGGAUGAUGAACAGUGAUGCCAAAGACUCAGGAUCUGAAGGCAGACAGGCCUGGUCCACCACCUGUGUCUGCCAUUUGCAGGAUGAGUGACCUUGAGUAGGUCACCUCACACCUCUGAACCUGAAUUCUACAUCUGCAAAACAGGAAUGAUGACCCUGACUGACAGCCUCCCUGUGAGGAGUAAGCCAUACAGCAUCCCUCCCUCCUUCACGUGACAAACUUUUCCUGAGUCCUGACCUCGGGGGCAGGAGCUGGAGAUACUACACUGGAUUAGAAAGAUGAGUUUCCAGUCAAGUGUGGGAGAGAGAAGUAGCCAGGAUGUAGAACCUGACAAGGGAAGAGUUCAGGAACUUGCCCAGUUGAGCAGCCAGUGAACGGGACAGCCCUGAGCACGGUGCACGUUCUGGGGUGGCUCGUGAGUGACAGCAGUACUGGUAUGCUGGUGAGUGCCUCAGCAGGAGCUCCCUCUGUCCCCCUACCAACUCCCCGAUGUCUGGACGGCACCAGAGCCCGCCUGGGAGGCCACGAGCUAACACUCUCAAGAGGUAAGUGUAUGCCAGGGGCUGGACUAAGGGGACUUCCCCAGAGACCCUGUGAAGUAUGUCUGUAUGAAGAUUCCUAUUCCUAUUUCUCCAAUAGGAAAACAGGGGGAUCAAACCAAUGACCCAAGGGCCUACAGCUAAGAACUGCUGGAGCCAGGCUCUGAACUGAGCUCUGCCUGACUCCAGAGGUGGUUUCUACCACCAGGCAAUACAACAGGGAGACACGCAGGUGUGUCAGAGAGCAGUCCUCACAGUGCGAGCACAGAAACCAGAGGCCAAGGCUGAAGAUUUUCCUGGACUCGCGGUGCUGCCCAGGAAUCUUCUGAGAAAACCUGUCAGUUGGUAAAGCCACGUGGAGGCGGGGCUAACAAAAUCUGGAAAUGUCUUCACCAGUUCCAAAGUACACACAAACAUUACUUGCCCUCUCUGGGGGUCAACGUUCUUUAUGAUUUUUUUCUCUCCAGGAAAAUAUUAGUUCAUUUAUAGAAACUAAACAUUACAUGUGGAGGGAAAAUGGAAAACGUGGCAUUCUUGGCCUUUUUUCUCCACAGACACAGAAACUGAGAAGGUUUCUCCAUUUCCUUUCUCACAGCCUAUUUGUUGGUGUGGAACUGCCUGUGAAGUCAUUCUGCAGGGGUGGAAAGUGGGGGCCAGCUCUCUGUGGGCAACAGGGACCAUCCCAGAGACAAAGGGCAGCCUCAGCCCACAGACCACUUCGGACUUGAAUCAAGGCCUCAAAGGGCGAGACCUGGGCCACUGUCAAUGUGAGGGCAGGUAGGCUGGGUAGAGGGGUAGAGGCGUGGGCGCUGCCUAGAAGAGGGCCAGAGAGACCGCCCGGCACAUUGGUCUUGCUCCCACUGCCUCCUUUCAGCUCCUCAGUGUACCCAUCCUUGCCCCUGGCAGCUUUUGCUGCCUGGUUCCCCGACUAAAAUGUGAGCUUUGUGGGGAAGGUUCUUGCCUUGCUGGGCACCUGGCUCACAGCAAGUCCUUGGCCUGGAAGUCUUGGGUGAAUGAAUGAAUGAACAUGUCUUAGGGCCUCUCCUUUGCAGGUGUGGGGGAUGUGCCUACUGGAAAGGGCACCGAGCUGAAGCCUAAACCCCCUCCUGAGGAGCCAGGGAAGCCUGCGUUCCUCCCAUUCCCGGGACUGCAAGAGGCACAUUCCUGUCCCUGAGUCUGGUCAGGCUCCUGCCACGCAGCUCAGUCUGGCUGCCAGGUCCAGAAAGGCCUCCCUGGAG
Molecule: long non-coding RNA, 1882 nt
Filed under: Homo sapiens (human)
Lineage: Eukaryota; Metazoa; Chordata; Mammalia; Primates; Hominidae
Description: HSALNT0354939
Source: RNAcentral